Molecule: ribosomal RNA, 1269 nt
Filed under: Triticum aestivum (bread wheat)
Lineage: Eukaryota; Viridiplantae; Streptophyta; Magnoliopsida; Poales; Poaceae
Description: partial small subunit ribosomal RNA
Source: RNAcentral
AUGACGGCGGCCAGCCUCCUCCGCCGCCUCCUCCCCAGAUCGCCGCCGGCGCCAGAGCAGAAAGGCAAAGAUCCCCUCGUAUGCAGCCCCCCCGUCCUCCCGCGCGACUCCGUGGCAUGCAGUUGCUUGCGCCGCCUCCUCUUCCUCUCCGACCCCCAAUUCCGACGCUGCUCCCGCAUCCGCCACCGCCGCGGCCCUCCCUUCCUCGGUUUCUUCAUCGACCACGGCGGCGACAGCGACAGCGACGACGACGGCGACGACGACGACAGCGGCGACGACGACAACGACGACGGCGACGAUGGCUACAGCAUCACCUUCGAGCCUGCUCCGGGCGCCCCCUACCGCCUCCCCCGCGGACUCUUCUCCUUGGAGCUCGACGGCUGCUACAUGGCCCUAGGAUGGCGCCACGGCCUCGGGCUCUUCUUCCACAAGAUCCGGUUCGAGGUCCUGGUGUGGGAUCCCGUCGCCGGCCACCAGCGCCUCCUGGCCGUUCCCCCGGAUUUCGAGUUCCAGGGGGGCAAGGGUGAUAUCAGCGGGGCGGUGCUUCGCGCCGCCGGAGACGCCGACCACUUCCGGGUGGUCAUGGUAGGCAGCAACGGGAAGCAGCCUAGAGCAGUGCUCGCCUGCGUUUACUCGUCGGAGACCGGCGCAUGGGGCGAUUUCAUCUCGGCGCCGCUUCCAUCCGAGGGUUUGUUCAUUUUCAGGUCCCAGCCCGCUGUGCUGGCAGGGGAUUGCCUUCACUGGUCGCUUACCAUGGCGGGUUCGAGAAGUAUCCUCAAGUUUGAUUUGAACAGGAAGAGCCUAGAUCUGAGGCUGCUGCCAGGGGAUUAUUACACCCCGCUCAGUCCUGUCAAAUUCGCGGUUAUGCGAGCAGAGGGUGGUGGGAUGGGUUUCCUCUUCUUAUUCGGCUUUACCGCCGAAUUAUGGAGUCUGAAUCCCAAUCGCGACGGUGUUAUGAUAUGGGAGCCAGGGAGAAGUAUUGAGCUGGACAAGUUACUUCGACUAAAUCCAAAGAAAGAUCCCCCACAGGUGAUAGGGUAUGCCGAGGAAAACAAUGUGGUGUUCUUCUGGACAGUUGUUGGUGUCUUCAUGGUCCAUCUCGAGUCAUGGCGGUUCAAGAAGCUCUCUAAGACUAGUCUCGAUUCUUGGUACCAUCCAUUUGAAAUUGCCUAUACUCCAGGCAUUGGUGGUGGACACGAUGGAGCUAAAGUUGUGAGUCAUUGGUGGAUGACACGAUGGGCACGAUACACAAAGCAAUUGUUCAGUUAG